RNAcentral lists this small RNA (1046 nucleotides) under Pongo abelii (Sumatran orangutan). Its description in RNAcentral is "retained intron". The record is from RNAcentral. Lineage: Eukaryota; Metazoa; Chordata; Mammalia; Primates; Hominidae.
CUAAAUUCCAGGAGGGUGAGCGAGUGCUAUGCUUUCAUGGGCCUCUUCUUUAUGAAGCAAAGUGUGUAAAGGUUGCCAUAAAGGACAAACAAGUGAAAUACUUUAUACAUUACAGUGGCUGGAAUAAAAAUUGGGAUGAGUGGGUUCCGGAGAGCAGAGUACUCAAAUACGUGGACACCAAUUUGCAGAAACAGCGAGAACUUCAAAAAGCCAAUCAGGAGCAGUAUGCAGAGGGGAAGAUGAGAGGGGCUGCCCCAGGAAAGAAGACAUCUGGUCUGCAACAGAAAAAUGUUGAAGUGAAAACAAAAAAGAACAAACAGAAAAGUAAGAAUAUUAACUUUCUUAACGUUAAUUUAUGUUAUCUCUAUGACAUUGACAUUUUUAUUUUGAAAGCUAUGAAAUUUUGGAGUAAGCUUAUGUUUAUUGAUUAUCUCAAAUAGGAGUCUCACGGCAGUGUUAUAAAAUAGGUACAUGAUGGUAGAGACCUCUUUUUACCAAGGAGAAACUUGUGAGCAUUAUUUUCAUCUGCUUUAGUCUUAAUGUCUCCCACUGAGAAGAUAACAUUUAUAAGUAAAUGGAAGAUGGUGAUACUAAAUAUUGUCUAUACUAAAUGUUUGGUAGAGCUCUUCAUGAAAGUUAUAUUUUUGGUAGGAAUAUGAUUCUUUAACUUAGAUUGAGGUAACAGCUGUGUAAUGGAGAAAUAAUGAAAAGGGAUAAUGUGUCAAGAGACUAUUUUCCUUAUAGAGUUUGUUAAAUUAGCUAAAUGAGACCCCUCCCCACCAACAUUUACAGCACCUGGAAAUGGAGAUGGUGGCAGUACCAGUGAGACCCCUCAGCCUCCUCGGAAGAAAAGGGCCCGGGUAGAUCCUACUGUUGAAAAUGAGGAAACGUUCAUGAACAGAGUUGAAGUUAAAGUAAAGAUUCCUGAAGAGCUAAAACCAUGGCUUGUUGAUGACUGGGACUUAAUUACCAGGCAAAAACAGCUCUUUUAUCUUCCUGCCAAGAAGAAUGUGGAUUCCAUUCUUGAGGAUUAUGCAAAUUACAAG